UCCCUCUCAGGACCUCACCUGGAGAGUUCCCAGUACUCUACCAGUCUUGGCUAUGGGAGGGAGAGUCAAGCAGAGGCCUACCCAUUCCAUUCCUAGCUUGGGCAGUGGCUAGCAAGUGGAAGGCAAUCUGCUACAAGG
This 138-nucleotide small nucleolar RNA is filed under the name Ornithorhynchus anatinus (platypus). The record is from RNAcentral. Lineage: Eukaryota; Metazoa; Chordata; Mammalia; Monotremata; Ornithorhynchidae.